UACAACAAUAUGAACAUAUUUUGAGGCACAGGAAAUACAAUUUCUUUUGGAAGAAAAAAUGAGUGAGUAGCUUAAAGUUUAGGAUCCAUUCAAAAAGCAGAGGUGAAACAAAGAGGUGCAUGGAAAACUGGAUCACACCAGUAUUUUCAAUUUAGAGAGUUUUGUUUUAUUUUCUUCUUGGGUAAUGUUGAUCUUUUAAUUUUUACCAGAAAUUACAGUAGGCCUAACAAGUAUCAUUAAGUUCAAUAGAUCUAAGACAAUCUCUGAUUUUACUAGAUUUAACUUUAGAUCUGAUCUACAGUGAUUAAUAAUCAUUUUGUUAUGAAAUUAUACCAAGGUGGUGCACAAUGUUGAUAACUAAACUGGAUCCAAAAGAAACUGAUCAAACUUUCCAAGGACCCUGUACAAAUUCCACUCAGUCAAAAUAAACAAUAUAUUUACAUACAUGUAGGCUAGCUUCAAUAAUUUUUACUAAGCACAUGUCAAUAAAUGAGAUUGAUUCAAACACAGAGAGGCUAUUGCCCCUCACAUCAAUUAGUGGUUUCAAAUCUAAAGUCACAAAUGGCAAAAGAAAGACCAAUGAAAAUAGAGAUGGGAUUAAACAAUAUUCAAAGUUUAUUACACAUGUCUUUCAUGGGCAUGUUUUAGCAAUUAUCUCAAUCACAAAGAGGCAAAAAGAAAUCAACAUCAAACUUUCAAAAUGACUGGAACAAUCGCACAGCCACACAAAAAUCCCACGGGAAUCUGAACACACUGUUAAUGACACAUGUAUGCUUAGUAGAGAUUGAGGUAGGAUUAAGGUACGAUAAUAUGCCAGUGGCAGAUUGUACCAGACUGGAAGAAGCUAGCCCGUGUAAAAUAUUGUUCAUUUUGAUCGAGUGGAAUUUGAGCGGUAAUGCAGAUUCGCCCUGGCUGACUUGGAGCAAAUUUCCCCACCAGAAUUAUUUCGCAAAUGUAAUAGCAAGUCUCUCAGUCAAUAAUCAAUAUGCCAACCACUUUUCCGAAUAUCGCAAUUGGAAACGGCUUUAUUUGGCUCCGAUCUCGAUGUCAUCGUUCAAAUUCUCAGUCAGCCAUCGCUUUGCUUUGCCAUAAUUUGGAUAUUGAUUAAAGUUAGCUACCAAAACAUCUGCUUGCAGCAGCUCACCCAUCUGUUCACUGCAUGUUUGCAUGAUUUUGGUCACUUUAAUCCAUAUAAGAGUUAUAAAUCAAAAUCAUAUAUUAAACUUAAGACCCAAAGCCAAGGCCCAAGCAAAGCGAUUUCUGAGAAUUUGAAUGUCGAAAUCGAAGCAAAAAUACAGCCGUUUCCGAUCAAGCUUCGGAAAAGCAGUGGGCAUAUUGACCUUGAAAUGUAACUGAGAGAUUUGCUAUGACAUUCACAAACAAUUACUGUAGUGGCCUAGUGGUGGGGAAAUUUGCAUAACUUUUGCAGUGAGCAAGUGUAUCCAGGUGACUUGCAAAAGCAUGUCGUCUUGUCAAGCGUUAAUAAGACACAGCACAAAAAUGAAUACAUGGGACAUACACACAGAUCUCAAUUCAGAU
Molecule: long non-coding RNA, 1539 nt
Organism: Lytechinus variegatus (green sea urchin)
Lineage: Eukaryota; Metazoa; Echinodermata; Echinoidea; Temnopleuroida; Toxopneustidae
Exons: 2
Source: RefSeq, a predicted model, not a curated record